Molecule: ribosomal RNA, 253 nt
Filed under: uncultured bacterium
Lineage: Bacteria
Description: partial 16S ribosomal RNA
Rfam family: Bacterial small subunit ribosomal RNA
Source: RNAcentral
GACGGAGGGUGCAAGCGUUGUUCGGAAUUACUGGGCGUAAAGGGCGCGUAGGCGGUCUGUUAAGUUCGGUGUGAAAGCCCUCGGCUCACCUGGGGAACUGCGCCGGAAACCGACAGACUCGAGUACCGGAGAGGAGGGUGGAAUUCCUGGUGUAGCGGUGAAAUGCGUAGAUAUCAGGAGGAACACCGGUGGCGAAGGCGGCUCUCUGGACGGUGACUGACGCUGAGACGCGAAAGCGUGGGGAGCAAACAGG